This 469-nucleotide ribosomal RNA is filed under the name Salmonella enterica. Its description in RNAcentral is "bacterial SSU rRNA". It matches the Rfam family "Bacterial small subunit ribosomal RNA", at positions 1 to 468 of the family's 1533-position model. Lineage: Bacteria; Pseudomonadati; Pseudomonadota; Gammaproteobacteria; Enterobacterales; Enterobacteriaceae. The record is from RNAcentral.
AAAUUGAAGAGUUUGAUCAUGGCUCAGAUUGAACGCUGGCGGCAGGCCUAACACAUGCAAGUCGAACGGUAGCACAGAGAGCUUGCUCUCGGGUGACGAGUGGCGGACGGGUGAGUAAUGUCUGGGAAACUGCCUGAUGGAGGGGGAUAACUACUGGAAACGGUGGCUAAUACCGCAUAACGUCGCGAGACCAAAGAGGGGGACCUUCGGGCCUCUUGCCAUCAGAUGUGCCCAGAUGGGAUUAGCUUGUUGGUGAGGUAACGGCUCACCAAGGCGACGAUCCCUAGCUGGUCUGAGAGGAUGACCAGCCACACUGGAACUGAGACACGGUCCAGACUCCUACGGGAGGCAGCAGUGGGGAAUAUUGCACAAUGGGCGCAAGCCUGAUGCAGCCAUGCCGCGUGUAUGAAGAAGGCCUUCGGGUUGUAAAGUACUUUCAGCGGGGAGGAAGGUGUUGUGGUUAAUAACC